RNAcentral lists this ribosomal RNA (403 nucleotides) under uncultured bacterium. Its description in RNAcentral is "bacterial SSU rRNA". It matches the Rfam family "Bacterial small subunit ribosomal RNA", at positions 355 to 775 of the family's 1533-position model. The record is from RNAcentral.
UGGGGAAUAUUGGACAAUGGGCGAAAGCCUGAUCCAGCCAUGCCGCGUGAGUGAUGAAGGCCUUAGGGUUGUAAAGCUCUUUUGUCAGGGAAGAUAAUGACGGUACCUGAAGAAUAAGCACCGGCUAACUUCGUGCCAGCAGCCGCGGUAAUACGAAGGGUGCUAGCGUUGUUCGGAAUCACUGGGCGUAAAGCGCGCGUAGGCGGCGAUGCAAGUCAGAGGUGAAAGCCUGGAGCUCAACUCCAGAAUUGCCUUUGAAACUGCAUUGCUAGAGUGUCGGAGGGGAUAGCGGAAUUGCUAAUGUAGAGGUGAAAUUCGUAGAUAUUAGCAGGAACACCGGUGGCGAAGGCGGCUAUCUGGACGACAACUGACGCUGAGGCGCGAAAGCGUGGGGAUCAAACAG